This 250-nucleotide ribosomal RNA is filed under the name uncultured Pseudomonadaceae bacterium. Its description in RNAcentral is "partial 16S ribosomal RNA". It matches the Rfam family "Bacterial small subunit ribosomal RNA", at positions 524 to 773 of the family's 1533-position model. The record is from RNAcentral. Lineage: Bacteria; Pseudomonadati; Pseudomonadota; Gammaproteobacteria; Pseudomonadales; Pseudomonadaceae.
UACGAAGGGUGCAAGCGUUAAUCGGAAUUACUGGGCGUAAAGCGCGCGUAGGUGGUUCGUUAAGUUGGAUGUGAAAGCCCCGGGCUCAACCUGGGAACUGCAUCCAAAACUGGCGAGCUAGAGUACGGUAGAGGGUGGUGGAAUUUCCUGUGUAGCGGUGAAAUGCGUAGAUAUAGGAAGGAACACCAGUGGCGAAGGCGACCACCUGGACUGAUACUGACACUGAGGUGCGAAAGCGUGGGGAGCAAAC